AUUUUAAAUAAGCCUAAUAUAGUGAUUUUUUUAUUUCGUAAGAUAAAAACACAUUGGGAAAGCUAAUGUGUAUCAUAAUUAGUUGCGUGUCCAGAUGAUAUGGAGAAGUUUCUCUGCAUCCAUGAGUGGUAUAGUGAGGUAGCUAAGAGGUUGGGCGCUGGCUCUAAAAUGUUGGCUAAUAGUUGGAUGAUCUUGGGCCAAAUUAGGGAGUUACUUUGAGCUUCUGUUUCCUCAUCUGUACAAUGGGGGAGGAUAAAAAGUACCAGUUUCAUAGGUUUGAUAGUAAAAGGGCAUUCAACAGCCCCCCAGCAAGGUCAGCUUUGUACUAGUACAUAAGAAAUCUGAGUGGACUCCAGCCCAGGUGGACAGUGAUUUCUACUGACACCUUUGUCUUAAGCUCUGGUAGCUGUUAGGAUUCAACUAGAGUCUGUGUUAUGUACCCCAAAAAGGACCUGAGAUGUGGUAAGCACCUUCAAAUUAUGAACAGUAUGUUUCCAAAGCAUUUUGAGCAAUAGAGGACAGUUGCCGAUUGGGUAAUGUUUCCAUAUGACCCAGAAAUUCCACUCCUAUGUAUCUAAGAAAUGAAAACAUGUUCAUACAAAAACUUGCACCCCAGUUUUUAUAACAGCAAUAUCCAUGAUAGCCAAAAGGUAGAAACAACCCAAAUGCCCCAUCAACAGAAUGUGUGGCAUAUGCAUACAAUGGAAUUGUAUUCAACCAUAAAACAUGAAGUACUGAUGCAACAUGGGUGAACUGGAAAAGAUAAUGCUGCUACUGCUAAGUCGCUUCAGUUGUGUCCGACUCUGUGCAACCCCAUAGACGGCAGUCCACCAGGCUCCCCCGUCCCUGGGAUUCUCCAGGCAAGAACACUGGAGUGGGUUGCCAUUUCCUUCUCCAAUGCAUGAAAGUGAAAAGUUAAAGUGAAAUUGCUCAGUCGUGUCCGACUCUUAGUGACCCCAUGGACUUCAGCCCACCAGGCUCCUCUGUCCAUGGGAUUUUCCAGGCAAGAGUACUGGAGUGGGGUGCCAUUGCCUUCUCC
Bos taurus (domestic cattle) is the source of this 1039-nucleotide long non-coding RNA. NCBI's taxonomy places the organism in Eukaryota, Metazoa, Chordata, Mammalia, Artiodactyla, Bovidae. The record is from Ensembl.